This 266-nucleotide long non-coding RNA is filed under the name Pan troglodytes (chimpanzee). Its description in RNAcentral is "long non-coding RNA NONPTRT007830". The record is from RNAcentral. Lineage: Eukaryota; Metazoa; Chordata; Mammalia; Primates; Hominidae.
AGUGACAUCAUCAUGAUUUUAGGGGAGAAAAAAAAAAGGCAACGCUUAACCUGGAAUCAAUAGCAGUAAAAUAUUGUAAUGGUCUUGAAUCUUAUUUGAUUUUCUUCUGCUGAUUUGAAAGGUUAAUGAGUUUUUCCAGCAAGAGAUUCAGAUAUUUGAUAGGGACAACCAGGGAACUUCAUGGUCACCUCACAUUAAAUUAUGUCUUUAAUAAAAACUUGCAAAAAUUUACUUGUUUUCAGCUAAUAAUAAAUAUAUAUCAUUUA